UUUAGCUUUAAAGAGUUAAGUUUUUCCUCCCUGAGGUGCUCUCUUAACAUCUCCCUAUGGAGCCUCUCCUGUUCCAUAGCAAAUUCACCAAGAGUGUAUUGGCGAACACUGUUAUGGCGACUGGACAUGCCCAACGUGCUUCCUCCUUGACUGGGAACACUGGUGAAACCUUGUCUCCUUGUGAAGUAGUAUACGGUAACACAGCUAAAAUGAACAUUCUUUGUUCUCAACCGCUUCUCUCGUUUCAGGAUCGAGGAUGCUGAAAUAGAAGGAAAAAACUUGAUGAAAACUCAGAAUGACAAAUAUGACUUAAAGGGGAAAAAUGAGCAUAUGUUUGAUACAUUUCCCCCCCCCCUUCAUUUUCAAGAGGAUGCUAGCAAUGGCAUAUCUGGGAUGGGGCUGACAGAAUAGGCAGAAGUUGAUGAAACCAAAGGCAACAUGGUACCAUGGAAAGGGAGCUGGAUUUGGAUUUGGAAGACCUGAGCUACUUCUGUCACUUAUGAGCUAUGUGACCCAGCUCUGAACCAUA
Long non-coding RNA from Sarcophilus harrisii (Tasmanian devil), 529 nucleotides. RefSeq lists it as uncharacterized. NCBI's taxonomy places the organism in Eukaryota, Metazoa, Chordata, Mammalia, Dasyuromorphia, Dasyuridae. The transcript has 3 exons. The record is from RefSeq and is a predicted model, not a curated record.